RNAcentral lists this ribosomal RNA (431 nucleotides) under Porosira sp. RCC4581. Its description in RNAcentral is "SSU rRNA". It matches the Rfam family "Eukaryotic small subunit ribosomal RNA", at positions 627 to 1059 of the family's 1831-position model. Lineage: Eukaryota; Bacillariophyta; Thalassiosirophyceae; Thalassiosirales; Thalassiosiraceae. The record is from RNAcentral.
CUCGUAGUUGAAUACUGACAUAGUCGACCGGUCUCACGCAUUGUCGUGAGCACUUGUGUUGUAUUAGGUCAUUCUUGGAUUUUAGCCAGUCUGGCAUUAAGUUGUCGGGUUGGUGAAAACCAUCGUUUACUGUGAAAAAAUUAGAGUGUUCAAAGCAGACUUAUGUCGUUGAAUAGAUUAGCAUGGAAUAAUAAUAUAGGACUUUUGUACUAUUUUGUUGGUUAGGUGUAAAAGUAAUGAUCAAUAGGGACAGUUGGGCGUAUUCGUAUUUCGUUGCUAGAGGUGAAAUUCUUGGAUUUCCGAAAGACGAACUACUGCGAAAGCAUUUACGAAGGAUGUUUUCAUUAAUCAAGAACGAAAGUUAGGGGAUCGAAGAUGAUUAGAUACCAUCGUAGUCUUAACCAUAAACUAUGCCGACUCGGGAUUGGGCG